GAUGAAGAACGCAGUGAAAUGCGAUAAGUAAUGUGAAUUGCAGAAUUCAGUGAAUCAUCGAAUCUUUGAACGCACAUUGCGCCCGCCAGUAUUCUGGCGGGCAUGCCCGUUCGAGCGUCAUUACAACCCUCAGGCCCCCGGGCCUGGCGUUGGGGAUCGGCGGAGCCCCCCGUGGGCACACGCCGUCCCCCAAAUACAGUGGCGGUCCGCCGCAGCUUCCAUCGCGUAGUAGCUAACACCUCGCGACUGGAGAGCGGCGCGGCCACGCCGUAAAACACCCAACUCUUCUGAAGUUGACCUCGAAUCAGGUAGGAAUACCCGCUGAACUUAAGCAUAUCAAUAAGCGGAGGA
RNAcentral lists this unclassified non-coding RNA (351 nucleotides) under soil metagenome. RNAcentral's name for it is "partial contains 5.8S ribosomal RNA, internal transcribed spacer 2, and large subunit ribosomal RNA". The stretch from base 1 to 120 matches the Rfam family "5.8S ribosomal RNA", at positions 35 to 154 of the family's 154-position model. The record is from RNAcentral.